This 74-nucleotide transfer RNA is filed under the name Thermotomaculum hydrothermale. It matches the Rfam family "tRNA". Rfam says of the family: Transfer RNA (tRNA) molecules are approximately 80 nucleotides in length. Their secondary structure includes four short double-helical elements and three loops (D, anti-codon, and T loops). Further hydrogen bonds mediate the characteristic L-shaped molecular structure. tRNAs have two regions of fundamental functional importance: the anti-codon, which is responsible for specific mRNA codon recognition, and the 3' end, to which the tRNAs corresponding amino acid is attached (by aminoacyl-tRNA synthetases). tRNAs cope with the degeneracy of the genetic code in two manners: having more than one tRNA (with a specific anti-codon) for a particular amino acid; and 'wobble' base-pairing, i.e. permitting non-standard base-pairing at the 3rd anti-codon position. Lineage: Bacteria; Pseudomonadati; Acidobacteriota; Holophagae; Thermotomaculales; Thermotomaculaceae. The record is from Rfam by way of RNAcentral.
GCCACCGUAGCUCAGCUGGUAGAGCAUCCCGAUUUUAAUCGGGAAGGUCAGGGGUUCAAAUCCCCUUCAUGUCU